This 115-nucleotide ribosomal RNA is filed under the name Pteropus alecto (black flying fox). Lineage: Eukaryota; Metazoa; Chordata; Mammalia; Chiroptera; Pteropodidae. The record is from RNAcentral.
GUCUACGGCCAUGCCACCCUGAACAUGCUUCCGUGUGAUCUUGGAAGCUAAGCAGAGUCGGGCCUGGUUAGUACUUGGAUAGGAGACCACCUAGGAAGACCAAGUGCUGUAGGGG